This 467-nucleotide ribosomal RNA is filed under the name uncultured bacterium. RNAcentral's name for it is "partial 16S ribosomal RNA". It matches the Rfam family "Bacterial small subunit ribosomal RNA", at positions 29 to 507 of the family's 1533-position model. The record is from RNAcentral.
ACGAACGCUGGCGGCGUGCUUAACACAUGCAAGUCGAACGGAAAGGCCCUGCUUUUGUGGGGUGCUCGAGUGGCGAACGGGUGAGUAACACGUGAGUAACCUGCCCUUGACUUUGGGAUAACUUCAGGAAACUGGGGCUAAUACCGGAUAGGAACUCCUGCUGCAUGGUGGGGGUUGGAAAGUUUCGGCGGUUGGGGAUGGACUCGCGGCUUAUCAGCUUGUUGGUGGGGUAGUGGCUUACCAAGGCUUUGACGGGUAGCCGGCCUGAGAGGGUGACCGGCCACAUUGGGACUGAGAUACGGCCCAGACUCCUACGGGAGGCAGCAGUGGGGAAUAUUGCACAAUGGGCGGAAGCCUGAUGCAGCAACGCCGCGUGCGGGAUGACGGCCUUCGGGUUGUAAACCGCUUUCGCCUGUGACGAAGCGUGAGUGACGGUAAUGGGUAAAGAAGCACCGGCUAACUACGUG